GCUAACCCCGUGCCAGAGGCGGGGGGAUAGUGGAGGGGUGAACGUUUAUCCGGGUUUAUUGGGUUUAAAGGGUCCUUAGGCGUGCGUAUAAGUCAGUGGUGAAAGCCGGCAGCUUAACUGUCGAACUGCCAUUGAUACUGUAAGUCUUGAGUGUAUUUGAAGUGGCUGGAAUAAGUAGUGUAGCGGUGAAAUGCAUAGAUAUUACUUAGAACACCAAUUGCGAAGGCAGGUCACUAAGAUACAACUGACGCUGAUGGACGAAAGCGUGGGGAGCGAACAGGAUUAGAUACCCGAGUAGUC
RNAcentral lists this ribosomal RNA (300 nucleotides) under uncultured Methanosaeta sp. Its description in RNAcentral is "partial 16S ribosomal RNA". It matches the Rfam family "Bacterial small subunit ribosomal RNA", at positions 496 to 795 of the family's 1533-position model. The record is from RNAcentral. Lineage: Archaea; Methanobacteriati; Methanobacteriota; Methanomicrobia; Methanotrichales; Methanotrichaceae.